GUUAAUCAAAUGAAAAAUAAGUGAAAACAUUAAUUUUCUUAUCGUGACGAAGCCCGCAAGCAAAACAGAGCCAAAGCUGAAAGAUGAGAUGGUAAAGUAGUCAGAGGUUAUUCCGCGGAGAUGACAUCUGUUCGUAGUGAAAUCAUUACACAGAAAUUGUUUCCUAAAAUUGUGCAAAUUUCCAAACAUUAACAUAAUCCAUAGAGAUCCAUAGACGAUUCAAAUCAUUGAAAGCGUCUUGCCUCAUUCUUUGUAAUUUUUAACCCUUGAUUUUCAAAAAAAAGGGUUGUUCGAAACGCAUUCGGCGUAAUCACCUGCAGGUCAUUGCGGAAUUUCACAAUCUAACAUGUCCGGUGGGCGAGGAACAGUGGGGGAAAAGCCAGCUCAGAUAAUGCUAUGGAUCUGUACCAUCGGCACCGUGGCAGGUCUUUGGAUGACUGGAGCGAACAGACAGUUGCAAAACAGGGAAAAAAAGAAAAGUUUGGACGAUAAACUCAAGGAGUUGGAUUCAAUUCCAGUCUCCUCUGAUAAAAGCACAGUAGAAAAAUGAUACACCAAAAGAGUUCUAUCAGGCAAGGGAUCAAAUUUGAUUUAGUCGCCCACUUUAGAUUGAUUCAGGGCUGGAAUUUGAUUUAUUGGUUCACUUUAUGUUGAACUAGGUCCGACAUUUGAUUUGUUGGUCUAGUUUAGAUUGACUUAGGGCUGAAGUUUGAUUUGUUAGUGCUUCAUUAGAUUGUUUUUUACAUGUCUCGCAAAUUAAUGAUUGAAACCUUUUGGCUCAUUUGCAAUGUGAUUUUUUGAUAGUGUCGCAAAAGGGUUGUUUUAUAUCUUUCUGCACUUAAACUAUAAUAAGGACUGCAUUUGGGCUGAAACAGUAUUUAUUGGCCUA
Molecule: long non-coding RNA, 889 nt
Organism: Cryptomeria japonica (Japanese cedar)
Lineage: Eukaryota; Viridiplantae; Streptophyta; Pinopsida; Cupressales; Cupressaceae
Exons: 2
Source: RefSeq, a predicted model, not a curated record